RNAcentral lists this long non-coding RNA (316 nucleotides) under Elaeis guineensis (African oil palm). Its description in RNAcentral is "long non-coding RNA (EGUI_LNC082761)". The record is from RNAcentral. Lineage: Eukaryota; Viridiplantae; Streptophyta; Magnoliopsida; Arecales; Arecaceae.
AUAUUAUUAGCGAUAAAAAUUUUCGUCGCUAAUAGUUCACAUCACAUCAUAUCUUAUUAUGCGAAACCCUUCUUCUCCCCCCCGUUUCACGUGAAAUCUCUUUUUUUUCCCCCUCCCCCUCUCUGCUCUCCCCCCUCUCCCCUCCGUCGCUUCUCGCCACCACGUCUGCUGCCGUCCGCAUCCACCAUCCAUCACCGUUGUCGUCGCUUCCCGCCAUCAUCGUCAUCACUACCCCUCCACUGUCGUUGCUUCCCGCUGUCUACAUUCGUCAGAGGUAACGAUUUCAAGACUUCUUUUUUUGGUGUUGAUCAGCCCA